AAGCAAAUAAGGGCGUACGGGGGAUGCCUAGGCUCUCAGAGACGACGAAGGACGUGAUAAGCUGCGAAAAGCCAUGGGGAGGUGCAAAUAACCAUUGAUCCAUGGAUGUCCGAAUGGGGAAACCCGGCCACUUGAAGAGUGGUCGUCGAAAGACGGUAACCCAGGGAACUGAAACAUCUAAGUACCUGGAGGAGAAGAAAACAAUUAGUGAUUCCGCAAGUAGUGGCGAGCGAACGCGGAUUAGCCCAAACCCUAAUGAUUCGUCAUUAGGGGGUUGUAGGACCUGCAUAAAGGUUAAAGACACAAGUGGAAGUAGUUUGGAAAACUACACCGAAGAGGGUGAAAGUCCCGUACACGUAAAGUCGAUAACUGGGCGGGUAUCCUGAGUAAGGCGGGACCGGUGAAAUCCUGUCUGAAUCUACCAGCACCAUCUGGUAAGGCUAAAUACUCCUGAGAGACCGAUAGUGAACCAGUACCGUGAGGGAAAGGUGAAA
Molecule: ribosomal RNA, 494 nt
Filed under: Schmidingerella taraikaensis
Lineage: Eukaryota; Ciliophora; Spirotrichea; Tintinnida; Rhabdonellidae
Description: partial Bacterial large subunit ribosomal RNA
Rfam family: Bacterial large subunit ribosomal RNA
Source: RNAcentral